GCUAUAAUGCAAGUCGAGCGAAUGGAUUGAGAGCUUGCUCUCAUGAAGUUAGCGGCGGACGGGUGAGUAACACGUGGGUAACCUGCCCAUAAGACUGGGAUAACUCCGGGAAACCGGGGCUAAUACCGGAUAACAUUUUGAACUGCAUGGUUCGAAAUUGAAAGGCGGCUUCGGCUGUCACUUAUGGAUGGACCCGCGUCGCAUUAGCUAGUUGGUGAGGUAACGGCUCACCAAGGCAACGAUGCGUAGCCGACCUGAGAGGGUGAUCGGCCACACUGGGACUGAGACACGGCCCAGACUCCUACGGGAGGCAGCAGUAGGGAAUCUUCCGCAAUGGACGAAAGUCUGACGGAGCAACGCCGCGUGAGUGAUGAAGGCUUUCGGGUCGUAAAACUCUGUUGUUAGGGAAGAACAAGUGCUAGUUGAAUAAGCUGGCACCUUGACGGUACCUAACCAGAAAGCCACGGCUAACUACGUGCCAGCAGCCGCGGUAAUACGUAGGUGGCAAGCGUUAUCCGGAAUUAUUGGGCGUAAAGCGCGCGCAGGUGGUUUCUUAAGUCUGAUGUGAAAGCCCACGGCUCAACCGUGGAGGGUCAUUGGAAACUGGGAGACUUGAGUGCAGAAGAGGAAAGUGGAAUUCCAUGUGUAGCGGUGAAAUGCGUAGAGAUAUGGAGGAACACCAGUGGCGAAGGCGACUUUCUGGUCUGUAACUGACACUGAGGCGCGAAAGCGUGGGGAGCAAACAGGAUUAGAUACCCUG
This 760-nucleotide ribosomal RNA is filed under the name Bacillus toyonensis. Its description in RNAcentral is "bacterial SSU rRNA". It matches the Rfam family "Bacterial small subunit ribosomal RNA", at positions 46 to 789 of the family's 1533-position model. The record is from RNAcentral. Lineage: Bacteria; Bacillati; Bacillota; Bacilli; Caryophanales; Bacillaceae.